Molecule: long non-coding RNA, 2580 nt
Filed under: Zea mays
Lineage: Eukaryota; Viridiplantae; Streptophyta; Magnoliopsida; Poales; Poaceae
Description: long non-coding RNA (ZMAY_LNC004829)
Source: RNAcentral
CACUUCUGUAACACCCGGCUUUAAGGGACAAAGCCAGGUGCAUCUCAUACAUGCGCCAUGAAGACAACAUAUACAAUAACAGAGUGUAUAGAGAUAAAUGUCAUAAUAACAUCAGAGUACUUAUUACAUAGCGGAAGACUUAUUACAAAAUAAAGGAAUAAAUGUAAAACGAACUAAGGAUCGUCGGCGCAAAUGUCGACUGAGAAACGCCACCUAGAUCAGAUCAUACUCCUCGCCUUGUGGCUCCUCCUGAACCACCUGUUCUUCUCCUGUGGGGGGGUGUGAGAUAGCAAGAGUGAGCUCACAUACGUUCAUCGCUCAACAAGUUGUGGGGAAUAAUGUGGCAUGAACUCACCAAAGGUGGGAGUUCAUGAAGUGUAAGGCUGACCAAUGAAAUAGAGGCUGAAGCUGAGCAUUGCUUUUAUAAGUUGGUCAAAAUUUUAUUAGCAAUUACUAAGUGUAAGUAAGUACCAAACCUUAAUAAUAAUAAAGAACAGUAAUAGUAAAGUAAUCCCAAAUGCGAUGCAAAUGUCAAAUUGAAUUUAAGUUCCAUAAUUAAUCAUGUGAGGGUCCGAGCCGCUCUUGACCGUGAGCACGGCUAGUAUACCAGUUUUACACUCUGCAGAGGUUGCGCAUCUUUACCCACAAGUCAUGUUACCCAUCUGCCAAGAGAUGGCCAAUCCCAUACACCUCUACCGAGGAGGCGAGGCAGGGUAACACUACGAGGCCUUUACAAAGUUCCACUAGCUUCAGAAAUCCCGCUACAGUUUAUAGGAAGCUCCAGUGCAGGGUUCUUGCCUGACCGCCAUCGCAGCAAAAUCAACCCAAGGACCUCCCUACACUGACCACUCCCCUACUGCCCUUGCCCCUUUCGGGUAAGGAAGACCUCCACUAGCUUUCCUAGUUAAUCAGCCAAGGGCGUCCCAUUAUACCCUUAUGGUAGCACUGUUUUCCCGGGUGGUCGCUCCAUGUUCCCAUUAACAUAAUGAUCUUAACAUGAACAGUAAUAAUAAAAGAGAAUAAAAGAGUAAUUAUGAAUAAAGUAUCUUCAUACCCAAAUCCACAUAAAGCAAUAGCAGGUACUACCCAAAGAAAUAUUUCAGUAGUGAACAAGGUAUAAAGAUAGCCAAAACUAGGAUAACCUAUUGGGUCCCAUCAAAAUUAUCCUAUGCAGAUCAUUAUAAUUAAUAAGAACAUGGCUGGGAAAAGUAAGUGAUCAAGGGCACAACUUGCCUUCAAUGAGCUCCUGCUCAGCUACUUCUACUUGUUGAACCUCAGAAUCCACAGUGGCUUGCUCGUCUAUUCGCAUCAACACAAUACAUACAUAGUAUAGCCAAAAUCAACAUCACACCAAACAGAUGAAUAAAAUAUACAGUAAAAAUCUACACAUUAAAAUGAAAUCAUAGGAACUGGAAUCACUAAAUUUGGAGUUAUAGAAUUCAAGUUAUGAAUUUCCUAAGGUUUAAUGUGAUUAAAAUAGGAUUAAAUGUUUAAAUUAAUGUUCUUACUGUUUUUAUGCCAAAACAGAGAUACUAAAUGAUAGAGAAGAUUAUUACAAAAUUUUAGAAAUUGGAAUGGGGUAAUUUGGAGUUCAUAUGAGUUUUCUAUGGAAUAAACAAGUCCUAGGAGUUGUUUUUUAUUAAAAAUACAUUUCCUAAUUUAUUUAAUCUGAUUUUCCUUUCCCUGGAUUGCGCCCCAAUAUUCAGAAAGGUUAAGGGCUCAGGCGUAAGAAAACCCCAGACUCAGAGGGCUGCAGCAUUGGACGGCGGGUUGAUAAUACAAAACCCCAGGGUUUAUUUUACAAAUCCUGCAGCUGAAGGGGUACGGGAGGAUUGCAGCCGCUCGAUUAGAUUUAAAUGGCCCGGAUUAGAAAAUGAAGAGGUAUGCAUCCAGAGCCCUAGGAUUUGAGAUCAAUGCUCUGGAUUUUAAAACGCCAGGAACACCCCUCGCCCCUCCAUCCAUCGAUCAACGGCCAGGAUGGGCCAUGGCCGAAACACCAUCCUACACCUAUUCACGAUCGCACAAUCACGAUCCGACGGCCAUGGCUCUUCUCUCUCACCUUAAUCCCGAGACGGCGGCGCAUGGCCCUGACGCGGCGGAGCCAUGGCCGGCGCACUCCCAAAUUCGGCUCCAGCAAUCGAACUUCGAUCCGAAGGCAAUAUCACGCAAAGGAUAACGAUGCGAUACGAUGGGGAGGUUGCUCACCGUGAUUCCAAGAGUGCCCCGGGCCAUCCACGGGGAGCGGCGGAUCCCAGCGUUCGACGAUGAAUCCCGGCCGCCACAGGGUCAAUCCUUCCCUAUCCGGCCACGGGUGUUCCACCGGCCAGCACAUGAAGCUUCUGGACUCAUCGCAGACCCCCAAACGUCAGUCGUGGACGGGGACGAUGCUGACGGCGUCCCUGCUCUCAACUCUCUCUUCUGCUCAGGCGCUGGCGGCCGAGAAGUGCGUCGCGGGUGGAUUCGAUCGUGGAGGCCGCGCGGUCAGUGACAGGACGGAUCGAUUUGAGGUCCGUGAUGCCGGAGUUGGCCGCGGCGGUGGUUUAUUAUGGCCAUGGCGACCCGCACAGAGGGAUGAAGCCU